RNAcentral lists this ribosomal RNA (414 nucleotides) under uncultured bacterium. Its description in RNAcentral is "bacterial SSU rRNA". It matches the Rfam family "Bacterial small subunit ribosomal RNA", at positions 362 to 773 of the family's 1533-position model. The record is from RNAcentral.
UAUUGGUCAAUGGACGCGAGUCUGAACCAGCCAAGUAGCGUGAAGGAUGACUGCCCUAUGGGUUGUAAACUUCUUUUAUAUGGGAAUAAAGUUUUCCACGUGUGGAAUUUUUCAUGUACCAUAUGAAUAAGGAUCGGCUAACUCCGUGCCAGCAGCCGCGGUAAUACGGAGGAUCCGAGCGUUAGCCGGAUUUAUUGGGUUUAAAGGGAGCGUAGGCGGGUUGUUAAGUCAGUUGUGAAAGUUUGCGGCUCAACCGUAAAAUUGCAGUUGAAACUGGCAGCCUUGAGUACAGUAGAGGUGGGCGGAAUUCGUGGUGUAGCGGUGAAAUGCUUAGAUAUAACGAAGAACUCCGAUUGCGAAGGCAGCUCACUAGACUGCAACUGACACUGAUGCUCGAAAGUGUGGGUAUCAAAC